CAAACCAACAUAGUGGAGGUGAAAGAAGAGCCAUCUGCAUGGACAGUGAGUCUGGGAUCCAGUGAGAGUCACAAUGGCCAAGCUAUCGGUAUCAGUCCCAGGGACUAUGGGUCUUUACAGCCCAACAAACAUCCUGGUCAUCUGCAAACACCUACCCUACAGCCCUCAGUUCACUCCAUCCAAAAUAUACAAACACACAGUAUGAUAGACCUGAAAUCAAAGGAGCAGGCAUAGCCCUGGCCUGUGAGAAAUGAUCCAGGUGUCCCCAGUAAAGUACACCCUGCCAAGGUCAGCUUGCCUUCAAAACACUGGAUGCAUACCUUCCAGAAUACAUGCCAAAACCCCGUAAAUACCCUGGGUUUAGGUGAUGACUCCAGGAGGAGACAUGAGAGAUGAGAGCGUAGAAACUGGAGAGAUAUGUGUCCCAAAGGAAAAACACGAAGUGAAAGAUUUCAAGGGGUCCCAUCCCAAUGAAGGGAAGCAAAUCACUAUAAGAUAUAGAGCUAUAAGCCAGGGAGAAAGGCUUCGAAGAGUAAGUCCUUGCAUCCCAAGCUGCACCCAGAUCAGGGACACAACCAAGACUUGGAUACCAGGGAAAGGGGAAGUUACUUCGAAGAGCUCUUGGAAUAAAAUCACAAAGAAUGCUUCAAAAU
Molecule: long non-coding RNA, 653 nt
Filed under: Rattus norvegicus (Norway rat)
Lineage: Eukaryota; Metazoa; Chordata; Mammalia; Rodentia; Muridae
Description: long non-coding RNA NONRATT012827
Source: RNAcentral